This 1343-nucleotide ribosomal RNA is filed under the name uncultured bacterium. Its description in RNAcentral is "16S ribosomal RNA". It matches the Rfam family "Bacterial small subunit ribosomal RNA", at positions 28 to 1378 of the family's 1533-position model. The record is from RNAcentral.
GACGAACGCUGGCGGCGUGCUUAACACAUGCAAGUCGAACGGAAAGGCCCUGCUUUUGUGGGGUGCUCGAGUGGCGAACGGGUGAGUAACACGUGAGUAACCUGCCCUUGACUUUGGGAUAACUUCAGGAAACUGGGGCUAAUACCGGAUAGGAGCUCCUGCUGCAUGGUGGGGGUUGGAAAGUUUCGGCGGUUGGGGAUGGACUCGCGGCUUAUCAGCUUGUUGGUGGGGUAGUGGCUUACCAAGGCUUUGACGGGUAGCCGGCCUGAGAGGGUGACCGGCCACAUUGGGACUGAGAUACGGCCCAGACUCCUACGGGAGGCAGCAGUGGGGAAUAUUGCACAAUGGGCGGAAGCCUGAUGCAGCAACGCCGCGUGCGGGAUGACGGCCUUCGGGUUGUAAACCGCUUUCGCCUGUGACGAAGCGUGAGUGACGGUAAUGGGUAAAGAAGCACCGGCUAACUACGUGCCAGCAGCCGCGGUGAUACGUAGGGUGCGAGCGUUGUCCGGAUUUAUUGGGCGUAAAGGGCUCGUAGGUGGUUGAUCGCGUCGGAAGUGUAAUCUUGGGGCUUAACCCUGAGCGUGCUUUCGAUACGGGUUGACUUGAGGAAGGUAGGGGAGAAUGGAAUUCCUGGUGGAGCGGUGGAAUGCGCAGAUAUCAGGAGGAACACCAGUGGCGAAGGCGGUUCUCUGGGCCUUUCCUGACGCUGAGGAGCGAAAGCGUGGGGAGCGAACAGGCUUAGAUACCCUGGUAGUCCACGCUGUAAACGGUGGGUACUAGGUGUGGGGUCCAUUCCACGGGUUCCGUGCCGUAGCUAACGCUUUAAGUACCCCGCCUGGGGAGUACGGCCGCAAGGCUAAAACUCAAAGGAAUUGACGGGGCCCCGCACAAGCGGCGGAGCAUGCGGAUUAAUUCGAUGCAACGCGUAGAACCUUACCUGGGUUUGACAUGGAUCGGGAGUGCUCAGAGAUGGGUGUGCCUCUUUUGGGGUCGGUUCACAGGUGGUGCAUGGCUGUCGUCAGCUCGUGUCGUGAGAUGUUGGGUUAAGUCCCGCAACGAGCGCAACCCUUGUUCACUGUUGCCAGCACGUUAUGGUGGGGACUCAGUGGAGACCGCCGGGGUCAACUCGGAGGAAGGUGGGGAUGACGUCAAGUCAUCAUGCCCCUUAUGUCCAGGGCUUCACGCAUGCUACAAUGGCUGGUACAGAGGGUGGCGAGCCUGUGAGGGUGAGCGAAUCUCGGAAAGCCGGUCUCAGUUCGGAUUGGGGUCUGCAACUCGACCUCAUGAAGUCGGAGUCGCUAGUAAUCGCAGAUCAGCAACGCUGCGGUGAAUACGUUCCCGGG